This 460-nucleotide ribosomal RNA is filed under the name uncultured bacterium. Its description in RNAcentral is "bacterial SSU rRNA". It matches the Rfam family "Bacterial small subunit ribosomal RNA", at positions 29 to 489 of the family's 1533-position model. The record is from RNAcentral.
AAUGAACGCUGGCGGCGUGCUUUACACAUGCAAGUUGAGCGAGGCCGGGUAGCAAUACCCGAGUCGAGCGGCGAACGGGUGAGUAACGCGUGGAUAACCUGCCCAGAAGUGGGGGACAACCCGGGGAAACUCGGGCUAAUACCGCAUAACACCGAAAGGUCAAAGGGCCCGCAAGGGUCUCGCUACUGGAGGGGUCCGCGUUCGAUUAGCUAGUUGGUAGGGUAAUGGCCUACCAAGGCGACGAUCGANAGCCGGCCUGAGAGGGUGAUCGGCCACACUGGAACUGAGACACGGUCCAGACUCCUACGGGAGGCAGCAGUGGGGAAUUUUGCGCAAUGGGCUAACGCCUGACGCAGCAACGCCGCGUGGAGGAUGAAGGUCUUUGGAUUGUAAACUCCUGUCAGCAGGGAAAAGCAACUCGGCCUCAUACGCCGGGAAGUUGAUUGUACCUGCAGAGGAA